RNAcentral lists this ribosomal RNA (439 nucleotides) under uncultured bacterium. RNAcentral's name for it is "partial 16S ribosomal RNA". It matches the Rfam family "Bacterial small subunit ribosomal RNA", at positions 338 to 795 of the family's 1533-position model. The record is from RNAcentral.
CCUACGGGAGGCAGCAGUGGGGAAUAUUGGACAAUGGGGGAAAGCCUGAUGCAGCAACGCCGCGUGAGUGAUGAAGGACUUCGGGACGUAAAGCUCUGUCCUCAAGGAAGAAAAUGACGGUACUUGAGGAGGAAGCCCCGGCUAACUACGUGCCAGCAGCCGCGGUAAUACGUAGGGGGCUAGCGUUAUCCGGAAUUACUGGGCGAAAAGGGUGCGUAGGGGGUUUCUUAAGUCAGAGGUGAAAGGCUACGGCUAAACCGUGGUAAGGCUUUGAAACUGGGGAACGUGAGGGCAGGAGAGGAGAGUGGAAUUCCUAGUGUAGCGGUGAAAUGCGUAGAUAUUAGGAGGAACACCAGUUGCGAAGGCGGCUCUCUGGACUGUAACUGACGCUGAGGCACGAAAGCGUGGGGAGCAAACAGGAUUAGAUACCCGAGUAGUC